GCUGAAGUGGUCAUGACGUUCCUGUGUAAUCAUUGAAAAUAAGCUCAACCUUGCCAACCAUGAAGCAGAGAUAGAACUACGGAAAAAGAAACAUCUGAGCAUUGAGAAUUUUCUCUUUUUUACCAUGGAUGGUUUGCUGUCAAUUCGCGAAGCUCUUUCAAUGGUUCAGACUCCCUAGGAUAUACACUAGUUUCAAGUAUAUACUGGUAAAGAGCAUCAGUCUGUAAGAGACUCUUGUGUCCAA
Molecule: unclassified non-coding RNA, 244 nt
Filed under: Hevea brasiliensis (rubber tree)
Lineage: Eukaryota; Viridiplantae; Streptophyta; Magnoliopsida; Malpighiales; Euphorbiaceae
Source: RNAcentral